GAAACGCUGGCGGCGUGCCUAAUACAUGCAAGUCGAACGAGAGCGACCGGUGCUUGCACUGGUCAAUCUAGUGGCCGAACGGGUGAGUAACACGUGGGUAACCUGCCCAUCAGAGGGGGAUAACAUUCGGAAACGGAUGCUAAAACCGCAUAGGUUCUUUAGUCGCAUGACUGGAGAAGGAAAAGAGGCUUCGGCUUCUGCUGAUGGAUGGAUCCGCGGUGCAUUAGCUAGUUGGUGAGGUAACGGCUCACCAAGGCCGUGAUGCAUAGCCGACCUGAGAGGGUGAUCGGCCACAUUGGGACUGAGACACGGCCCAAACUCCUACGGGAGGCAGCAGUAGGGAAUCUUCCGCAAUGGGCGCAAGUCUGACGGAGCAACGCCGCGUGAGUGAAGAAGGAUUUCGGUUCGUAAAACUCUGUUGUUAGAGAAGAACAGCGCAUAGAGUAACUGUUAUGCGUGUGACGGUAUCUAACCAGAAAGCCACGGCUAACUACGUGCCAGCAGCCGCGGUAAUACGUAGGUGGCAAGCGUUGUCCGGAUUUAUUGGGCGUAAAGCGAGCGCAGGCGGUCAAUUAAGUCUGAUGUGAAAGCCCCCGGCUCAACCGGGGAGGGUCAUUGGAAACUGGUUGACUUGAGUGCAGAAGAGGAGAGUGGAAUUCCAUGUGUAGCGGUGAAAUGCGUAGAUAUAUGGAGGAACACCAGUGGCGAAGGCGACUCUCUGGUCUGUAACUGACGCUGAGGCUCGAAAGCGUGGGUAGCAAACAGGAUUAGAUACCCUGGUAGUCCACGCCGUAAACGAUGAGUGCUAAGUGUUGGAGGGUUUCCGCCCUUCAGUGCUGCAGUUAACGCAUUAGAGCACUCCGCCUGGGGAGUACGACCGCAAGGUG
RNAcentral lists this ribosomal RNA (887 nucleotides) under uncultured bacterium. RNAcentral describes it as "bacterial SSU rRNA". It matches the Rfam family "Bacterial small subunit ribosomal RNA", at positions 30 to 895 of the family's 1533-position model. The record is from RNAcentral.